AGACUGGUUUCUAUAGGGUGAAAUAUGAUGACGACCUUGCAGCUAGGCUUAGAUAUGCCAUAGAGAAGAAAUAUUUGACUGAAACAGACAGAUUUGGCAUUUUGGAUGAUUCAUUUGCCCUUUGCAUGGCUCGUCACCAGUCUUUGGUCUUGUUGCUUACUCUGAUGGGUGCUUACAGGGAGGAACUUGAGUAUACUGUGCUGUCAAACUUGAUUAGUAUAAGUAAUAAACUUAUGAGGAUUGCAGCAGAUGCAACCCCUGAAUUAUUGGACUACAUUAACCAAUUUUUUAUUAAUCUUUUCCAAAUUUCUGCAGAGAAACUGGGUUGGGACCCUAAACAAGGUGAAAGCCAUCUUGAUUCAAUGUUGAGAGGAGAAAUUUUGACUGCCCUCGCUGUGUUUGGGCAUGAUCCAACAAUAAAUGAAGCAAGUAGGAGAUUUCAUGCAUUUGUAGAUGACAGAAAUACACCACUCCUUCCACCUGAUAUAAGAAAGGCAACAUAUGUGGCAGUAAUGCAGAGAGUUAGCACUUCAAAUAGAUCGGGUUAUGAAUCUCUCCUGAGAGUCUAUAGGGAGACCGAUCUAAGCCAAGAGAAAACUCGCAUUCUGGGUGCUGAACUAUUUUUUGAAAUUUUUGUAGAAUAUAUGAAUUUAAUGAGUUUGUGGUAAUUAUAUAUCCAUAUAUGCCUUGUGCAGGUUCAUUGGCAUCUUGUCCAGACCACAAUAUGGUUCUUGAAGUUCUUAACUUUGCGUUGUCUUCUGAGGUUCGGAGUCAAGAUGCUGUUUUUGGACUUGCUGCUGUUUCCAAGGAAGGACGAGAAACAGCUUGGACGUGGAUGAAGGAUAAGUGGGAUCACAUUUCAAAAACUUGGGGUUCUGGAUUUUUAAUAACUCGCUUCAUCAGUGCAGUUGUCUCACCG
Molecule: unclassified non-coding RNA, 919 nt
Filed under: Hevea brasiliensis (rubber tree)
Lineage: Eukaryota; Viridiplantae; Streptophyta; Magnoliopsida; Malpighiales; Euphorbiaceae
Source: RNAcentral